Molecule: ribosomal RNA, 253 nt
Filed under: uncultured bacterium
Lineage: Bacteria
Description: partial 16S ribosomal RNA
Rfam family: Bacterial small subunit ribosomal RNA
Source: RNAcentral
UACAGAGGGGGCAAGCGUUAUUCGGAAUUAUUGGGCGUAAAGGGCGCGUAGGCGGCCUGGCAAGUGGAAGGUGAAAUCCCUCGGCUUAACCGAGGAACUGCCUCCGAAACUGCUUGGCUUGAGACCAGGAGAGGUGAGUGGAAUUCCCAGUGUAGCGGUGAAAUGCGUAGAUAUUGGGAGGAACACCAGUGGCGAGGGCGGCUCACUGGACAGUUACUGACACUGAGGCACGAAGGCCAGGGGAGCAAACGGG